GCUUAACUCUGCUACCAGCUAAACCUUUCAUGGCUUGAAGCCUCUCAAUCUCCUCAUCUUUUGCCAAAAUAGAGCUCUUCAAAGAAGACACCUAGAAAGUCAACCAAAGGAGGGGAUGAUUACUCAUCUGCUCCUAAUUCAACUCCAGAAACCCUCUCAGCAAACUUUAAAGUGCUCAGAGUUUCAGAAUAUGAACUUACGUCUGAAUUGAUUUGGACGAACAUGAGCGUCUUUGCUUGACCACCUAUGUGGUAAGAUCAAAGGCAAGAUUCAAAGAUCAGAAGAAAGUCUACCUUGAAAAGAUUCAAGGUUCAAGGUUGGUUAAUAAAGAUUUACCAAGAGAAGUUUGUAGAAGUUGAGUAAGCUUGCUGUUUCUGUAUGGUACAUGAGAGCUCUUUUGAGAAAGGGAAAAAAUAACAUCUCCAAGGGCAGCUAGUGAUCUGUUUAUAUGCUGUGCUUCUUUGAGCCUAUCCCCAAUUACUUCAGAACGAUCUACUCUUUCACUUCCAGCCAAAUCUACCAAAUGAAGAUUACCAGCCAUAGUGCAACCAGUCUUUAAGUCCUUCCCGGUGGAAGAUCUAUGUAACUUCCUGGUUUCAGUUGAAACACCUCAUGGAAAUUAUGACCAGCAUGGUGUAUUAAUGAGGCUGAUUGCUCUGUCGAAUAUACAAAUGAGUAAAACUGACUACUUAAACACGG
This is a long non-coding RNA of Vigna angularis (adzuki bean), 699 nucleotides long. RefSeq lists it as uncharacterized. Lineage: Eukaryota; Viridiplantae; Streptophyta; Magnoliopsida; Fabales; Fabaceae. The transcript has 3 exons. The record is from RefSeq and is a predicted model, not a curated record.